AUUGAACGCUGGCGGCAGGCCUAACACAUGCAAGUCGAACGGUAACAGGAAACAGCUUGCUGUUUCGCUGACGAGUGGCGGACGGGUGAGUAAUGUCUGGGAAACUGCCUGAUGGAGGGGGAUAACUACUGGAAACGGUAGCUAAUACCGCAUAACGUCGCAAGACCAAAGAGGGGGACCUUCUGGCCUCUUGCCAUCGGAUGUGCCCAGCUGGGAUUAGCUAGUAGGUGGGGUAACGGCUCACCUAGGCGACGAUCCCUAGCUGGUCUGAGAGGAUGACCAGCCACACUGGAACUGAGACACGGUCCAGACUCCUACGGGAGGCAGCAGUGGGGAAUAUUGCACAAUGGGCGCAAGCCUGAUGCAGCCAUGCCGCGUGUAUGAAGAAGGCCUUCGGGUUGUAAAGUACUUUCAGCGGGGAGGAAGGGAGUAAAGUUAAUACCUUUGCUCAUUGACGUUACCCGCAGAAGAAGCACCGGCUAACUCCGUG
This 490-nucleotide ribosomal RNA is filed under the name uncultured bacterium. Its description in RNAcentral is "partial 16S ribosomal RNA". It matches the Rfam family "Bacterial small subunit ribosomal RNA", at positions 30 to 507 of the family's 1533-position model. The record is from RNAcentral.